GGGUGAUGUUACAGAGCUCUUCAACCUGGCUCAACGGAAUAUCCUGUACAUUAACAAGCAACGACUUAUUGCCAUGGAGGAGAUGAAGAAACUGUAGGAUGAAAAUAAUUUGCUUCUCGAGGAAAUACAAGGACUAGAAACAGAAAUGCAAGGAAUUCCCCUAGAAGCAGCACAGUCAUCAAGUUUCAGUGAGUUACUCCUGCGGAUAGAUACAAUGGUCAUUUCUGGAAUGAUCAGCAUGACGGAAGCAUCUGAUUUAAGAGAUAAACUUGUCACUAAUAGAAGCAUAAUACAAAGCACCUUUUCUGAUAUUCAUCAUAAGCCAAAUACUGAAUUGCUGUCUGAACUGCAACUCUUUUUGCAUAAACCAAUAGAGUAUGCUACCACUUACCUUACUUUUUUUUCCAGUUUUACCGCCUUUACUCAAAUUUUCUGCAGUGUUGCGGGAUACCUAUGUCCAUUUUUUAUUGCUGCCAUGACAACUUGACACAAUGAAUUGCCCAUUGACACCUGACAUGGCCUGGCUCAUAUCUGAUACAUUGAGAAAGAAUCUUGCUGCAGAGGGCAAGAGGAAGCUCAUGUGUGUUAUCCAUGAGAGGGAAAAAAUGGCAGAAGACAAUGAUAGGUGUGUAGCCGUAGAGAGGGAAUCACUUUAAAUGAUGGUUAAGACAAUGAUAGGUGUGUAGACGUAG
Molecule: long non-coding RNA, 692 nt
Organism: Zea mays
Lineage: Eukaryota; Viridiplantae; Streptophyta; Magnoliopsida; Poales; Poaceae
Exons: 3
Source: RefSeq, a predicted model, not a curated record